CCUGAGAAACCCAAAAGAUCGAAUGGGGAGAUUCAUCGUCAGCGGCGUUGGCUUCCGUGCGGCUCGCGAUGGCCGGGACCUCGGUCUCGCGUCACGCGGUCGCUGCGGUAUGCCCGGCGUCGUCGGCGUGCACUUCUCCCCUAGUAGGACGUCGCGACCCGUUGGGUGUCGGAUCAAUGGCCGUUUGGUCGUCUGCUGUCGUCCCUCGUGGACGUCGGCAGACCAUUCGGUCUUCAACGUCCGGCUGCUCGGCGGUAUAGAACGCUUAAUCACGGUACUGAGCCGCAUCGAAUGCGUCCAGGCUCGCCGGCAGGCUCGUCUCGCUCGGAUUUACGGACCUAGUGCCGUUGCCUUGCGCUUGGCGGGUUGUUAGUCGACGGUGUCCUCGGACUGGCUCUUACCGGUCGGCGACGCUACUGCUUUGGGUACUUUC
RNAcentral lists this ribosomal RNA (433 nucleotides) under Henryana magnifiica. RNAcentral's name for it is "eukaryotic LSU rRNA". The record is from RNAcentral. Lineage: Eukaryota; Metazoa; Arthropoda; Insecta; Hymenoptera; Eulophidae.